Oncorhynchus tshawytscha (Chinook salmon) is the source of this 1827-nucleotide long non-coding RNA. Lineage: Eukaryota; Metazoa; Chordata; Actinopteri; Salmoniformes; Salmonidae. The record is from Ensembl.
ACCAUACCUAACCCUAACCCUACAGACAGACAGUCCUUUAACCCAACCAACGGGUUAAUCUACAAGUGGGCGACCAUGGGGCCUACAACUUUGGCCGGCCGCGCCCGUACCCUCCGACCCGCGCGUAUAUGAUGUGGAGUGCAACCCCUCCCUUCCCCCUCCGGUUUCCACGUGUCAGAGAUGGAAGUGGAUCAACCGACUCAAAACUAGAAACCAAACACAUGGCGAGUCACCGCUGCGUUGCUGGGUGUGGGGUAUGGACGCAGCAAGCCAAGGACUUUUUAUCCCUUACACUCACUGGGAUCCUCCCAAAUCCAGCCUUAUACAAGGGUUUUUUCUCCACCCUUGCACCCUCAGGAUUGGUUUGAUGGUGAAUAGGUUAAAAAUAAUCAUUAGAUUAUAUACCAACUAAAAUAACCCUACUCUACUCCUGACCCCUGGAUGUACACUACCUACUCUACUUUUUUUCAACUCAAAAGCAUUUUUUACUUUUUAUUUCUUACUUUUUACUAAAGAACCUGGACUCUACUACAACAUACUCAAAAACUUUUUUUUGAUGAACACUACCCCCUCCAUUUUUUCAACGAAAGAAGACUUCUUCUCCAAGAUUUUACCUUUUUCAACUAAAGAGGAUUUUCUCAAAGAUACCACCUUUUUUUUACUCAAGAUAAAGGUUUUUUUCUCAAGACACUACCCUUUUUCAGCUAAAGGGAAAGACUUUUUUUCAACAAAGAACUGGACUUACUACACUGACACAGGUGUAAGAGACUUUUUACCCAUCCUGACGAACGUAUCUCCAACUUAGGAGCAAAAUGAUACAAAUUACAUUAUAGGCCCACCACACUCACACCAAAAACCUAGGUUAGACCCCCACCCAUAUAAAAAAAAAAAAAAAAACUGGAAACAGCAUAAAAAAGCUUUUUCGGAUCCGUACAUCCCAUAAUCCAAGUGGACUUGAACACCGCAAAACAGCCAAAUCUACCGCAUAUCCGGGAACCCAAGUGGACACGAACGCGAUCAAAGCUAAAACUCCGCUAACAAGCGCCAACUAGAAAAGAUAAAAACAGCACCAUUUUCGAUCCGGGUUAAAGGAACACCCCCCUAGUUAUCCUAUCUGCCACUACCCCUUAAUAAAGAAACAAGGUUCAUGCCCUCUAACACCACAAAAAGACCUAAAAACCACGGCCACUACUUUUCCCUGCACAUCGCACCUUACUGCAUAUAAGCAACGUGACUCAACAAAAAUCGGAGGAAAAAUAACUCAACCAAAUUCAAAGACCUAUCACCAGACCUAUGGGUUACCCAGAACCCCAACUAAAAAUUCUAUAGGAACCCACAGAUGUCCACUCUACCCUCUACCUUUCCUGGACCCACAGAACCUUACCUUCGGGUAUUUCCAACCCCAAACCCCCUACCAGAGCAGACCGCUCCCAACGUUAACACACAAGUCAAUGGUGACACGUAGGUCAAAUACACACUUUUCAUAGGAGGAUCUAUCCUACUUCUACACAUCACAGGAACUCCACGUAUGGCUCCUCUUGACCCCCAGGACUUCUAGUCCUACUUAAAAUUCACCUGGUACCUCUCGGAUACCCACAACCCAAACAGCACCCCAAAAGCAAAGAGUCCACUUCUCCUAUACAAUUCCCCACACCUUAGCCCUGGCCCCCUAACCCGAACUGCAACCCCAGUUCCAACCCCUCUGUGUAUGUGUGUGUGUGUACAUGUAUCUGUACCUGACCUCAUGUUGUUAACCCUGUCUGUCCCUUACAAUGUAUUGUGUCCCCUGUUUUGUCACACUCCACUCUUCAUUCAUACCAAAUAACA